UACGUAGGUGGCAAGCGUUGUCCGGAUUUACUGGGCGUAAAGGGCGUGCAGGCGGUUUUUUAAGUCUAGGGUGAAAGCUCCCGGCUCAACUGGGAGAGGUCCUUGGAUACUGGAGAACUUGAGGGAUGCAGAGGAAAGUGGAAUUCCCGGUGUAGUGGUGAUAUGCGUAGAUAUCGGGAGGAACACCAGUGGCGAAGGCGACUACCUGGCCUGUUCUUGACGCUGAGGCGCGAAAGCUAGGGGAGCAAACGGG
Molecule: ribosomal RNA, 253 nt
Filed under: uncultured bacterium
Lineage: Bacteria
Description: partial 16S ribosomal RNA
Rfam family: Bacterial small subunit ribosomal RNA
Source: RNAcentral